GAUGAACGCUGGCGGCGUGCCUAAUACAUGCAAGUCGAGCGAACAGACGAGGAGCUUGCUCCUCUGACGUUAGCGGCGGACGGGUGAGUAACACGUGGAUAACCUACCUAUAAGACUGGGAUAACUUCGGGAAACCGGAGCUAAUACCGGAUAAUAUAUUGAACCGCAUGGUUCAAUAGUGAGAGACGGUUUUGCUGUCACUUAUAGAUGGAUCCGCGCCGCAUUAGCUAGUUGGUAAGGUAACGGCUUACCAAGACAACGAUGCGUAGCCGACCUGAGAGGGUGAUCGGCCACACUGGAACUGAGACACGGUCCAGACUCCUACGGGAGGCAGCAGUAGGGAAUCUUCCGCAAAGGGCGAAAGCCUGACGGAGCAACGCCGCGUGAGUGAUGAAGGUCUUCGGAUCGUAAAACUCUGUUAUUAGGGAAGAACAAAUGUGUAAGUAACUAUGCACGUCUUGACGGUACCUAAUCAGAAAGCCACGGCUAACUACGUG
Molecule: ribosomal RNA, 497 nt
Filed under: uncultured bacterium
Lineage: Bacteria
Description: partial 16S ribosomal RNA
Rfam family: Bacterial small subunit ribosomal RNA
Source: RNAcentral